Molecule: long non-coding RNA, 335 nt
Organism: Fundulus heteroclitus (mummichog)
Lineage: Eukaryota; Metazoa; Chordata; Actinopteri; Cyprinodontiformes; Fundulidae
Exons: 3
Source: RefSeq, a predicted model, not a curated record
CACACCUAAGAAAAGCCAUCAGCCCCAGGGACAGGCUCUUUGUGACCUUACGCUUUCUGGCAACAGGCGAGACCUUCAAGUCAUUAGGUUUUCAAUACAGGAUUGGAAGCACAACACUGAGUCGGAUAGUGAUGGAAACGUGCACAGCCCUCACUACAGUGCUGCGUGAUGUUUACUUGAAGACGCCAUCAACUGACUCUGAGUGGACGGCCAUUGCCAGAGACUUUGAAAACAAAUGGCAGUUUCCACACUGCUUAGGAGCAAUAGAUGGGAAACAUGUAUUCAUUCAACCCCCUCGCAACAGUGGAAGCAUGUUUUAUAACUACAAGUCUAGG